RNAcentral lists this transfer RNA (68 nucleotides) under Marmota monax (woodchuck). RNAcentral describes it as "tRNA.Ala". Lineage: Eukaryota; Metazoa; Chordata; Mammalia; Rodentia; Sciuridae. The record is from RNAcentral.
GGAUUUUGGCUCAGUGGUAGAGUGCUUGCCUAGCAUGUGUGAGGCACUGGGUUCAAUUCUCAGCACCA